GGCCUUGUGGUGUACUGGUAACAUACUUGCUUUUCCUAAGCUUGCGAGUUCGGAUUCCGCAGGAGACCCUUGUUCGACUCAAGGCCAGGCUA
Molecule: non-coding RNA, 92 nt
Organism: Mycena vulgaris
Lineage: Eukaryota; Fungi; Basidiomycota; Agaricomycetes; Agaricales; Mycenaceae
Source: the annotation of a GenBank genome assembly